UACAGAGGUCCCAAGCGUUGUUCGGAUUCACUGGGCGUAAAGGGUGCGUAGGUGGUGAGGUAAGUCGGAUGUGAAAUCUCCGAGCUCAACUCGGAAACUGCAUUGGAAACUACCUUGCUCGAGGGUUGGAGGGGGGACUGGAAUGCUUGGUGUAGCAGUGAAAUGCGUAGAUAUCAAGCGGAACACCAGUGGCGAAGGCGAGUCCCUGGACAACUCCUGACACUGAGGCACGAAAGCGUGGGGAGCAAACAGG
This 253-nucleotide ribosomal RNA is filed under the name uncultured bacterium. Its description in RNAcentral is "partial 16S ribosomal RNA". It matches the Rfam family "Bacterial small subunit ribosomal RNA", at positions 524 to 776 of the family's 1533-position model. The record is from RNAcentral.